GGCGGACGGGUGAGGAACGCGUGAAUGACCUGCCCUGCUGGUGGGGGAUACCAGCCAGAAAUGGCUGUUAAGACCGCAUACGACCCGGUGCUGCGAGGUGCUGGGGGAAAGCCGAGAGGCGCCGGAGGGAGGGGUUCGCGUCGGAUUAGCUAGUUGGUGGGGUAAGGGCCUACCAAGGCGACGAUCCGUAGCUGGUCUGAGAGGACGGCCAGCCACACUGGGACUGAGACACGGUCCAGACCUCAUACGGGGAGGCAAGCAGUAAGGGAAUUUUUGGCAAUGGGCGCAAGCCUGACCGAGUGACGCCGUCGUGUGGGAUGACUGCCUUUCGGGGUGUAAACCACUUUUCUUCGGGACGAGCGAGGACGGUACCGGAGGAAGAAGCCUCGUGCUAACUACGUGCCAGCAGCCGCG
RNAcentral lists this ribosomal RNA (414 nucleotides) under uncultured bacterium. Its description in RNAcentral is "bacterial SSU rRNA". It matches the Rfam family "Bacterial small subunit ribosomal RNA", at positions 97 to 519 of the family's 1533-position model. The record is from RNAcentral.